Molecule: ribosomal RNA, 231 nt
Filed under: uncultured bacterium
Lineage: Bacteria
Description: partial 16S ribosomal RNA
Rfam family: Bacterial small subunit ribosomal RNA
Source: RNAcentral
AGUAAAGUGGCGUACGGGUGAGUAACACGUGGAUCAUCUACCCUGGAGUGGGGAAUAACGCUGGGAAACCGGCGCUAAUACCGCAUAAUCCCGAGAGGGCAAAGGAGCAAUUCGCUUCAGGAGGAGUCCGCGGCCGAUUAGCUAGUUAGCAGGGUAAAAGCCUACCAAGGCAACGAUCGGUAGCCGGCCUGAGAGGGCACACGGCCACACUGGCACUGAAACACGGGCCAG